UCUCCCAUAAACGUCAAAGCUUCCUCUCUCCAUUCUCUAGUUGCAAACUCCCAUUCAGAAAAUUCACACCAAAAACGUCAAGUCUUUCUCUUCCCUUUUCCAUUCUCUAGUUCAAUUUCUGCGUUUUCAAGCAAGGAGAGGAAGAAGAAGAAGGAGCCGUGAAGACCUUGCAUCCAUCAUCCACCAUUGAAGCGUGAAGAGUUGAAGCAUGAUUCCAAGAUUCAAGUCCAACGUUCAAGCCCUCCAUCUCCAUCUCCAACUCACGGUGUGUACCCUCAAUCCCCGGAUUUGAACGAUCCCUACUUACCGUAUACUAACGAUGAUAUUUUCAGGGUUAAAUUAUAUGCUUACUUUUAGCAUAUCA
This is a long non-coding RNA of Rosa rugosa (rugosa rose), 364 nucleotides long. RefSeq lists it as uncharacterized. Lineage: Eukaryota; Viridiplantae; Streptophyta; Magnoliopsida; Rosales; Rosaceae. The transcript has 2 exons. The record is from RefSeq and is a predicted model, not a curated record.